UAAAGUCUGCACUUGAAUAUUUGUCCAGAAAUGAAAAUUCAACAACAGUUUACUGUUAAUUGUUAAAUGCAGCUAAAGAUUUCGGCGGAACAGAUAUCAUUACUGGAAGUUUAGAACUCGACAGUUGCAGUCAUUCGAUCAUGCACAUUUACAACGCAACAGCUAAAGGUCUUGGCGGAACCAUGAAUGCCAGGAAAGAUACGACGGAUAGAACUGUUUGCCAUAUUCGAAUACACCCCCUGGCUGUCGAUCCAAUCGCUUACUCGAGCAGUCGCUGAUGAUGACAAUGAUAAGUAUCUGCAAUACAUAUAAAAUAAAUAAUUAAGCACUCGCCUCUCCUUGCAGAGACUGAAGAACCAACGAAUUGUAUAUUUCAGGGAAAGCAAGUUUGUUUGGUACAAAUAGAAAAGAAUGAAUGAAAAUAACAAAUAUUUAAGCGUACAACAUGUACAAAACAAGCACACAUAACUGAAGGGCCGUUUAAGGCCCUAGAAAGCUGCUAUAUGGAACAUGAAACAAAAUCGGUGCCGAGAAAAUGGUUUAGCUGUGACAUAUUGGGUGCACUAGACAACUUAGUUCAAUAUUUAAGAAGUCUUGAAAACAAUUAACAGCAUUUAUACAUGUAUAUACCAUGUCAUAAAUUUUUAGAUCCAAAUUCUGACAUACUCCCUCUGUAAAUUAAUAUAAGAUCGUUUAGAUCACUAAGUACAACUCAAGAAAUGAAAAGGACAAACCAGUUUGAAUAGUACCACCAGGAUUACAAUUUGGUACUAUUCAUAUCUUGAUUUGUCUUUUUUGUUUAUGAAGUUGUGAAUCGCAUUUGGAUACUUAAUUUUGUACAUUCUGAAUUAAACUACCACACAUGAAAGCUCUGAAAACCUAUUUAAGCAUAUAGAUGGCAAAAGGAAGAGAUAUAGAAAUUAAAAAAAAACUCUAGGAUAAAAUGGCAUAUCCCUUCUACUUUUUGUCCUCUUCUUUGCUUUGUUGCUACAAGUACCCAUCUAAACUACUCCCUCCGUCCGUAAAUACUUGUCGGAGAAAUGGAUAAGGAGUAUUUGACUGAUUAUUGGCACAUGCACUAUUCAAGCUGUCCCAGUGCUCACACCCCGGGUCUGGUUUUGAACAGCGAGUGUUACACACAUGAGGGAAGUAUGCCAAACGUAAACUGAAAUGAUACAUACAGGCAUAAGCAUAAUGGCUAAUGUAGUAUCACCAUCACAGCAAGGUGCUGCCAGAGGAAGCAAUCAGCUAAAUAAUAUCUUCAUAGUAACCAUUUGGCGCAAUACUAAAGCUUCAUAAUCAGUGGCCAAUUGUAGUGUUUGGACUACAGAAAUCACUUAUGGCAGAAGAGUGAACUUGUUCUGUUCUCUUUCUCCUCGAAAGACUGCAAUAUGAAUGACCGUUGUACUGAAAAAAUCCCCUGAAAAAUGCAGGUCGGCACUGACUCAUUGUACCUAAAUGCAUGACCAGUACCUAACUGCACCCACACCGUUCACCUCGCCCGUGCAGCCUGGUUCACCAUGACUUCCGGCAAAACAGCCAGCAAGCCGUUAGUUUCAAUGAGCAUCAGCAUUGAGGUGUCCUAGUCCCUUUAGACAAGCAAGGAUCCCCGCUUCCUCCACGCUAGCACACACAGGAACACCAGCCAUGCAUGAUCUCGGACAACGAUGCCCACUCCUGCAGGCUUAGAGAUUGCAUCCUAGCCUGCAUCACUAUGCACGAUAUUAUUCCAAUGAUGCUAUCCACUUGCCGAACCGAUCUGGCUCUUGAGGUGGAGCAGCUAGUCAGGCCCUGGUGCCGGAAAAGCUUCUCCUCCGGUAGCUUUACAAGGAACUGCCCUCUGGAAGCCGUCACUACAGGUUUGACUGCAUUUCUUAUAAAAAAAUAAAAAAAAUUAUUACUUUUGUUCCAUACAACAUAUUAUCUUCAAAUAUUAUUGUCAAAAGUAUUACUGUGAAGAAUGUGUCCAAGGUCCCAAGCGAAGGCCCGCAUCUGGCAGUAUACUCAUCCAGCCAAGCUCGAGUUGUGCUAGAGAUCCUUCAGAUAUAAUUAGGCUGAAGCAGCCUGUUGAAUCAGUGUACUUCUUUACUCACCAUCAGCUUCAGGUGUUGUAACUUAUAAGGUGUGUCUGGGAUCAUGUUCCGAUCCUUAUUGUAUAGUAUAAGGCCGCAGAUGAUUGUACACAUUGCUUUGAUUUUAAUGGCCAGACUUCCAUCAAGUUAGAUGCUAUCAGUAUAUAUUGUUCGAGCAUACAUUUUGUACGAAACAACUACACGCGAAAGCUCUGAAAAGCUAUUUAGACAACAUGAAAAGAAACAAGUGCUGACAAAAAUGGUUUGUCAGUCAGGUAAAAAAAAGGUUUCACGGUGACAAAGUAAUUUUGGUUUUCGGGAACAUAUUCAUGCAGAUAUAUAUUCAUAUAGCUGGCAGAAGGAAGAAAUGAAAAAAGAAGAAAACGGAGCAAGUCCAUUGCAUUGGUUUGGUCCUCCUCUUUACUUUGUUGGUACAGGUUCCCAUCUAAACCAUUUGCCUGAUCAUUGAUAGAUAACGCUGGUCAUGAUGUCAUAAGUGCUCACAACCAGGUCAGGAUAUGUAGCAUCAAGUGUAAAAUACAGGAGGAAAGUACGCCUAACUUAAACAGAACAGGCAUACCAUUUGACCCAAUACAAGGGCUUUGCAGUGUUUGAACUACAGAACAUGAAAGAAAAGUGAAAUUGUUCCCUUUUUCCUUGAAUGGCAGCAAUAGUUCACUGGUCUUUUAUCAGUAGUUCACUAUUUUGGAAUGGGGCAAACAUAGCAAGGCCAAAGCCAAGCCCUUGUAGUCCAUGAUAUAUCAAGUACGAAGAGCACACUUGGACACUAAAGGAAUUAUGCAUGCAACACCUAAUCAGCCAGCUCACAAUCCAUCCUAAAUAUUUCAGUGCCUCGACAAAAUCCAAACUAGACAACUAUCCCACUGCCAAUAAACAACAACUAAUAACCAUAAGGCUUAAUUCACACCUCAAAUUUUGGUCCAAGUAAGGACAAUCAAAAUAGAACGCAUUUGGAGCAUAUCAAGAUGAUGAGAGCAUAACCAUGCAAGUAAAAAGUGCUGUGUAAUAACAUAGCAUCCAGUACUCCAAAUGCGUCUUUUGUCUUGAUGACUAGGCAAUAUCCGUCGAUCAUUUAAGUAAAUGUAACAAGAUCAGGCCUCUCACCAGUACUUAUGACCAUGUCAAAGAUAUUGUGUUCUUCAGUUACCCUUCUGCGGCCUAUGACGAAUAUCCUUGUUCUUCAUUUCAGUAAUCAACUAGAAAAUUGCCCGUGCGUUGCAACGGGAGUAUAAACAUUCUAGUAGAUUAGCCCCUGACUGCACGUCUAUUAUUGUAUUAAUGUUUUUGAGAAGCCAUGUAUAUUAUUAUAUUGAUACGCUAAAAUCUUACCAAAUCUUUGUAUGCAAUCGCCAUGAUUUAUCUGCGAUUUUAUUGUUAAGCACUUAUUUGGUAAGAAUUUAAUGAGUUGCUAACAAAAUAUGUGUUUAUUUUGGUAAGAUAAUAAAUAUGAGACAAUUGAAUGGAUGGGAGAAAAAUCAAAUAUGGGAGGAAAAAAUCAAAGAGGAUAAGGAAAAAGUGGGACGUAUAUAUGGAAGGUUAGACGAAAGAGAUGUGAAAUGGGAACCUUACGUUCUUUUUAGUAGUAGAGAUUCCUUGCCUUUCUCCAUCUUGGCUAGUACUCUGAAUGCUUUUUCCAUCUUGGCGAUAAGCAAUAUCCAUUGAUAAUUUUAGUGAAUGCAGUAGGAUGAGGCCUCUCACCAGUAUGGGUAACCAAGUCAAAGAUGCCGUGUUCAUCGAUUACCUUUCCAUGGCUUAUGAUGAAUAUCCCUGUUCUUCAUCUUGGUAAUAAAUUCCUCGGCUUUCAUGGAAUCACCAUGAUUAAAAUAACCCUCAACCAUGCACAUGUAAACUUCUGUCUCAAGUGGUACUCCCAUAUCAAUCAUCUCACUGAACUUUUCCAUCGCAUCAUCCAUCCUGCCCAUCUUGCAAAAUGCAGAUAUCACAGUUAAAUAAGUGAAUUCAUUAGGCUUCACACCCUGCUUCAACAUGUCUUCAAAGAAAAGCAUGGCCACAUCCAUCCUGCCAUACUUAGCAUAUGCAUUAAUCAGUAUGUUGAAACAACGGAGGUCGGGUACAACUCCAUCUCUUGCCAUCAGCUCACAGAGAUCAAUCAUUUGAACAAGGGAUCCUUCUAUAGCGUACCCAUGGAGCAUAAUAGAGUAUGAGACUAUAUUUGGUUUCGGCCAUUCACGGCCAUGGAAUAAAAUAUUUCCUCAGCUUCUUUGAUUCUUCCAUGCUUGCAAAGGUAGUCCAUGACUGAGGUGCAAGUAACAACGUUUGGCAUACUACCUUGGCUUCUCAUUACUUUCAACAACCUAAAGGCUUCUUUCAGCUGAUCCGAAGUUAAAAAUCCAUGGAUCAGGGUAUUAUAUAUCCUAUCAUGUGGUUGGACACCAUUACGAACCAUGUGUCGAAGGAUCACCUCUGCCUUAUCCAUUGCUCUUGCUUUGCAUAGCGCAUUGAUUAUGGAGCUAUAUGUCACCUCAUUAGGCACAACCCCCUGUUGUAUCAUUUCGUGGAAUAGAUCACAUGCUUUGCUUACUUCACCCUCCUUAAACAAGCCAUCCAUUACCAUGUUGUAUGCCAUCACGUCGGGAGAGUGGUCACCACCUUUUUUGGCCAUCACCCGGAGCAGGUCAAGCGCAAGCUGGCUCCUCCCACUGUCGCAGAAACUCUUGAGAAUCACUGAGUAGGAGAUGACAUUAGGCAGGUCAUCGGGCAUCCUAUGGAGCAGCACGUUCAGAGCCUCCUUUGUGCGCCUCAUGUCACAGAGGAACUUGAAUAGGCUGCUGUAGGUAAUGGCGCUCAUUGUGAUGCCUGUCUUGAGGAGGCAGCCAAAGAAGGCAGGCCCUAGGUCUGGGCGGCAUGCUCGGUGGCAGCAGUCAAUUAGUAUGUUGUAAGUGUGAACGGUGGGUCCUGUCAUCCGGCGGCGGCCUGCUCGGGCCAUAUGGUUGAAGAGAUCGACCGCGAGCGCAGGGCCAUCAGUGCAGGCGGUUGAAGGCGGCGCACGCGCGAGUGCAGCAAAUAAGCCGUUGAGUGCACGCGCCGAUACUGGGACUGGUUGGCGCAGCAUUUCGUCGAACAGUUGGCGCGCGAGCUCUGGUCUGAGCGUCCUGGAGUCCAGAUGGCCUUGGAGUUCGUUCAGCAGGUCGUAGGCGCGUGAGGAGAAGGAGCUGCAGAAAGAGCGGACCUGAAGGCGCGGCAUCGUCGCCGUCUAGUUUCUACAGCGGCGGCGAAUGCGAGCUCCAAGGACCAAAUCCUUACUCUGGUGGGAGGAGGACGG
This 5376-nucleotide long non-coding RNA is filed under the name Triticum aestivum (bread wheat). Its description in RNAcentral is "long non-coding RNA (TAES_LNC009902)". The record is from RNAcentral. Lineage: Eukaryota; Viridiplantae; Streptophyta; Magnoliopsida; Poales; Poaceae.